RNAcentral lists this ribosomal RNA (484 nucleotides) under uncultured bacterium. RNAcentral describes it as "partial 16S ribosomal RNA". It matches the Rfam family "Bacterial small subunit ribosomal RNA", at positions 30 to 507 of the family's 1533-position model. The record is from RNAcentral.
AUUGAACGCUGGCGGCAGGCCUAACACAUGCAAGUCGAGCGGAUGAAGGGAGCUUGCUCCUGGAUUCAGCGGCGGACGGGUGAGUAAUGCCUAGGAAUCUGCCUGGUAGUGGGGGAUAACGUCCGGAAACGGGCGCUAAUACCGCAUACGUCUUGAGGGAGAAAGUGGGGGAUCUUCGGACCUCACGCUAUCAGAUGAGCCUAGGUCGGAUUAGCUAGUUGGUGGGGUAAAGGCCUACCAAGGCGACGAUCCGUAACUGGUCUGAGAGGAUGAUCAGUCACACUGGAACUGAGACACGGUCCAGACUCCUACGGGAGGCAGUAGUGGGGAAUAUUGGACAAUGGGCGAAAGCCUGAUCCAGCCAUGCCGCGUGUGUGAAGAAGGUCUUCGGAUUGUAAAGCACUUUAAGUUGGGAGGAAGGGCAGUAAGUUAAUACCUUGCUGUUUUGACGUUACCAACAGAAUAAGCACCGGCUAACUUCGUG